Molecule: long non-coding RNA, 458 nt
Filed under: Ornithorhynchus anatinus (platypus)
Lineage: Eukaryota; Metazoa; Chordata; Mammalia; Monotremata; Ornithorhynchidae
Description: lncRNA (ENSOANG00000037486.1)
Source: RNAcentral
UGGCCAGGGUGCUGGGUUGAAGGGGUACCCAGGGGUGAUGAGGCAGAAACACUUCUUGUAAAAUGUUGCAUAUAACUUCAUUAUGACAUGAUUCAUGCAGGUACAACACACAUAAUGACAUCAUAAGAAAAGCGUGGGUGGUGCCCCAAUUUUUGUCCCACCUCAGCAUAGCCGAAUAAUUUGAAACCAGCUUGGUUGACUCUCGGGACCAUUAGGAGGGUCUAAGAGUAAGUCCUCCAAAGGGCAUUUCCCUCUUCAAUAAACCAUCAAGUCCUCCUGCCAAGGCCUGGGAGCUCUCAGCUUCCAGUGCAGGGAAAAGCAGGCAUAAGGAUUUGAAUAAAGUUAAGAAGAGAAAAGAACAACAAAAGAACAAAAACAGAUUAAGAACUGGGAGGGGAGAAUACAAGCAUCAAAGAAGGGAAACAAAAGAAAUUACAAGCUAUUCUUCUUUAACUUGA